CGGACGGGUGAGUAACACGUGGAUAACCUACCUAUAAGACUGGGAUAACUUCGGGAAACCGGAGCUAAUACCGGAUAAUAUUUUGAACCGCAUGGUUCAAAAGUGAAAGACGGUCUUGCUGUCACUUAUAGAUGGAUCCGCGCUGCAUUAGCUAGUUUGUAAGGUAACGGCUUACCAAGGCAACGAUGCAUAGCCGACCUGAGAGGGUGAUCGGCCACACUGGAACUGAGACACGGUCCAG
Molecule: ribosomal RNA, 241 nt
Filed under: uncultured Staphylococcus sp.
Lineage: Bacteria; Bacillati; Bacillota; Bacilli; Caryophanales; Staphylococcaceae
Description: partial 16S ribosomal RNA
Rfam family: Bacterial small subunit ribosomal RNA
Source: RNAcentral